This is a long non-coding RNA of Humulus lupulus (European hop), 288 nucleotides long. RefSeq lists it as uncharacterized. The record is from RefSeq and is a predicted model, not a curated record. The transcript has 3 exons. Lineage: Eukaryota; Viridiplantae; Streptophyta; Magnoliopsida; Rosales; Cannabaceae.
UUUGAGUGGAGCAAUUCCUGCAUCUUUGGCUAACAUGACACUGCUUGCCUUCCUGGACCUGUCAUACAACAAUCUAAGUGGUCCAGUACCAAGGUUGCCUGCCAAGACCUUCAAAUGCUCAAACUGCUAGGAGACCCAAAAACCAUAAAAUUGCUUUAGCCUUUGCUUCAAGCCUGGGCUGCAUUUGUCUACUAAUUCUUGGGUUUGGUUUCCUUCUUUGGUGGAGGUACAGACACAACCAGCAAAUUUUCUUUGACGUCAACGGUUAGUAAACCUAACUCAUUUUUU